RNAcentral lists this ribosomal RNA (434 nucleotides) under uncultured Lachnospiraceae bacterium. Its description in RNAcentral is "partial 16S ribosomal RNA". It matches the Rfam family "Bacterial small subunit ribosomal RNA", at positions 341 to 792 of the family's 1533-position model. Lineage: Bacteria; Bacillati; Bacillota; Clostridia; Lachnospirales; Lachnospiraceae. The record is from RNAcentral.
ACGGAAGGCAGCAGUGGGGAAUAUUGCACAAUGGGGGAAACCCUGAUGCAGCGACGCCGCGUGAGCGAAGAAGUAUUUCGGUAUGUAAAGCUCUAUCAGCAGGGAAGAAAAUGACGGUACCUGACUAAGGAGCCCCGGCUAACUACGUGCCAGCAGCCGCGGUAAUACGUAGGGGGCAAGCGUUAUCCGGAUUUACUGGGUGUAAAGGGAGCGUAGACGGCAAGGUAAGUCUGAAGUGAAAUGCCGGGGCUCAACCCCGGAACUGCUUUGGAAACUAUCUCGCUCGAGUACCGGAGGGGUAAGCGGAAUUCCUAGUGUAGCGGUGAAAUGCGUAGAUAUUAGGAGGAACACCAGUGGCGAAGGCGGCUUACUGGACUGUAACUGACGUUGAGGCUCGAAAGCGUGGGGAGCAAACAGGAUUAGAUACCCUGGUA